Long non-coding RNA from Mya arenaria, 1277 nucleotides. RefSeq lists it as uncharacterized. NCBI's taxonomy places the organism in Eukaryota, Metazoa, Mollusca, Bivalvia, Myida, Myidae. The record is from RefSeq and is a predicted model, not a curated record. The transcript is spliced from 7 exons.
GUCGAGAGGCAGCGGGUGGAGAAAGUGAUGAUGAUGAGGAGAAAAAGGAGGAAAAGAGACCUGCACUGGAGAUUGCUUCCAUGGUUCAAGUAUGAUGUUGGAGAAGUCAGGGAUCUGGCCAGACAGCUGUCCUUAUACAAUAGAGUACAUCAGUUUUUGCAGGAGUGGAACAAGGAACACUUCCUCAGUUUCGUCCAGUGUCAGAAGUCUGUCAACGAUGCCCGGAAUUUAGAGCAGUCUGUUUCCAUGGUGAAGUCACGUAUUGAGUAGAAACUCCACAAACUCUUCUCACAGAAAUCUACAGACCUGAAACUGGCCAGUAUCCUGAACAUAGCUGUAAUGGACCUGUCUAUACACCAGACCUUUCCUGUCCAUAUCAGACCUACUUUGUGUAACAGUGUUCUGUGUUAGAGUGCCUCAACUUUAAAAUAUUCCAGAGUGUAUUCUGUCCAAAUACAGGAUGAUAUACAAUGUAGGGGACAUUCUACACAGGAUAAAAAGGGAAGCGAAUCUAGCUGAUGGAACAACAGAAGAUGAUGUGGUCACCUAUAUCUCAGAUUUAUGUGAUCGAGCACAUAAGAAAGACAGUCAACAGCUCCGACAGACGUUACCACGGUUAAAGGAGAAGAUUUUCCGCACCAAGCAGGCCCUAGACAACUGUACACAUGCCAGGCCGGCAGCGGACGACUGGUGGUUGGAGCUCAGCCAGAACGGUGUCUCUUGGGUGACUGUAGAUGACCACACCUUACAGCAGUACAUGGACAGAUGGACAGUCCUAGUGACCAUCUUUAAGACAACAGCUUCUACACAACCAGUGAGGGAGACCAACUUUCAUCUGUGAUUGCACAUAGACAAUUAAAAAUGUACCUUUAAUUGCUCUGACAGAAAUGAAGGCAGGUGUGCUGUGGACAAGUUAUAAACUAAGGAAAACUGAGUUUUGCCUCAUUAAGCUUAAAGAGGCUUAAUUUCAGAGCCCUACUAGAUGAGCAGAUCAUUCUUUAUCGGAAAACCUCACAUAUGCAAUCAUCAAAGUAAACCUCUUAAACAGUGCUUUAAAUAAACUAAAUUAGUGUUAAUGCAGACAUCAAGCAGCCUUGAAGGGUGUGGUCAAAUGCUAACAUAUAUAUAUAUACAUGUAUACAUAAUUGAAUACAUGUCUGUUACUUUAAUAUAUAAAAUUAUGCAAAAUGUAAAAAUAAGUGACAGAUGAAAAGUUAAAGGACCUAAUUGCGUAAACCAUAAUUACAUACUUGAUCCUAGCACUGAAACAGAUUAAA